UACGUAGGUGGCAAGCGUUGUCCGGAAUUAUUGGGCGUAAAGCGCACGUAGGCGGCUUUUUAAGUCAGGGGUGAAAUCCCGGGGCUCAACCCCGGAACUGCCCUUGAAACUGGAGAGCUAGAAUCUUGGAGAGGCGAGUGGAAUUCCGAGUGUAGAGGUGAAAUUCGUAGAUAUUCGGAAGAACACCAGUGGCGAAGGCGACUCGCUAGACAAGUAUUGACGCUGAGGUGCGAAAGCGUGGGGAGCAAACAGG
This 253-nucleotide ribosomal RNA is filed under the name uncultured bacterium. RNAcentral describes it as "partial 16S ribosomal RNA". It matches the Rfam family "Bacterial small subunit ribosomal RNA", at positions 524 to 776 of the family's 1533-position model. The record is from RNAcentral.